Molecule: non-coding RNA, 86 nt
Organism: Triticum aestivum (bread wheat)
Lineage: Eukaryota; Viridiplantae; Streptophyta; Magnoliopsida; Poales; Poaceae
Source: Rfam
GUCUUACCAUGGGUUCCCCACAAGCACUUCACGAGGCAGUAUUUGAAAGACCACUGUGAAGUGUUUGGGGGAACUCUUGGUACCAC